Molecule: long non-coding RNA, 612 nt
Organism: Hyaena hyaena (striped hyena)
Lineage: Eukaryota; Metazoa; Chordata; Mammalia; Carnivora; Hyaenidae
Exons: 4
Source: RefSeq, a predicted model, not a curated record
UAGGCAGCCACAGUGGUUAGUUGUGUUGGGUGUUCAGGGAAAGGCUCUCUGAGGAGAAUACAUUUCUAGAGGCUGGGAAUCAAGAUAAAGAUUAACCUGAAGAUCAAGAUCAAGAUGUUAGCAUAUUCAGGGACUGGUUUUAUUCUCAUUCAUGAGGUUGAGGAACAUCUAGACAGAUGGAGAUGGCACUCUGGUGUCAAAGUGUUUGGACUUUGAAGACAGACCGAACCAUCCUCACAGGAAAGCACUCAAUGGCUGCCUGAUGUGAUUCCUCUCUACCUUAUGGGAAUGGUCAGUCAUGCUGAAGCAACGAUGGCCUUGCUGGUAGUCCAAGCACCGACACAUCCAUGCUGUCAUGACAGUGUUUUGAGUAAGAAAUGGCCGAUCAUAUUAUCCCCAUCAGAUCCUGGAGCUUAGAGAGAUGAAGUGACAUGCCCAAGGUCACAAGGAGGCUUUGUUUCUCUGCAAAGCCCAAUCCUUAAAGGUAAGGGCUCUGGAAUUAGGCACACCUGCAUUCAAAUCCCCGUUUGGACAGUUAUAACCAUGUGAUUGACCUUAGAGGCUCUGCUCAAUGUCCACCCUAAUCCCCUUCCCCUCAUUGCUGCGGGGAGC